This 64-nucleotide transfer RNA is filed under the name Eucorydia linglong. RNAcentral's name for it is "tRNA-Glu". Lineage: Eukaryota; Metazoa; Arthropoda; Insecta; Blattodea; Corydiidae. The record is from RNAcentral.
AUUUAUAUAGUUUAUACUAAAACAUUACACUUUCACUGUAAAGAUAAAUAUUAUUUUAUAAAUU